UUUUUUUUUGUCAAGUCCUCUGCCACCACCCCACCUUCUUUGUAUGGACUUAAAAGUAGCAGUCAUUUUUAUAAGGCUUCCUUAUGGCUUUUAUUUAUAGGUCUAAUUAUGUCAUUAAUAUUACAAAUUCACUAUCUCUUUAGGAGCUUCAGUUCCAUUAUAUGAUUCAGGAUAAUCUAAUUUUUUUUUUUUUUCAUGCUUAGAAAAUGACAAAUACUUUCAGGCCACCCUCAUAGAAAAUGGUAUUGUCAAUUUUUUUUUCCCCACAGAAUUAAAAACUAUUGUCAAAAGAAACAUUUGAAAUCAAUUACUGUGAGCAAAAUUUGGACAUUUUUUAAAAACUUGAUUUAUUUCAAAGAAAAUGUGAAAAUGAACACCAUCAGAAAGUUACUGAAAAUGAGAUUUAAAUGAAGAAAGUGUGAGGUCUACUUAUUUUUAAAAACCCAAAUGAAAGAAAAACUACAUUCUAGAAAUGACAUUUCUCAUAAUUUCCCACUUAAUGGUCACUAAAUUAUCCUAUUUCAUGAUCCCAGGGCUUGGGACAGUUGUGGGACCUCUGUAAUAUUUAUGUCCUGAGUCAUUGUGAAUAACGACUUAUAGAAUAAUUUUUAUUGUGAAAUUUAAUGCACUGGUCACAUUAAUAGCAUCAACAUCUGCUCUCACUUAUCUUUAAAAAGCUAACCAAAAUGAUGGCAAGUUUAGAAACAGAAGCUCACACCAGCAAUAAGAAUAUGGUUCUAAUUUUCUUUUGAAUGAAAAGGAUAGAAAAAGUCAUUUUGCAUUGUUGAUUUGUGAGUGAAGUUGGAGCUAAUGUGAAUCUAGCAUCUUGUUAACUUCAGCUUUCUCAGGACUCAUGACCUCUGGGCCUGCCAAACCUAGAUUGGCUAAAUGAUACUAUAAAGAUCCCGAAUAUUCUUCUUUGGUCUUCAUUAAACAUACUCUCAAACUAGGCUCUUCAUGGACUAUGAUUUGGUGCCAUUUGUAACUGUCCUGGUGACCAAAUCUCAAUCUCAUUCAUUUAUUGCCCUUUUCAAAAAUUAAUCAAGAGGACUUAUUAUUUACCAGUUUCUUAGUCUUAAAUAAGUAAUUAUUAUAAGGUAUUCAAAAUUUGAGAUGUUCAAAACCUACAUGAAUCCUGUUUAUACUUCAGACCUAAAAGUUUAUGAGAGGACAGAACUACUUUCUUUUAGAUACAAGGAAGAUUGUUCUUGAUUCAUGAUAAUUUUCAGUAAUUUAUUAACUAGCAGGUAGGUGAUGAGCCUUUUUUUUUUUAAUGAGUUACCUUACAUUUCCAAAUAAUGUUUUAAAACCCAGUAGCUCUUUCUGUAAUUACCUUCAUUUUCCAUGUUUAUUAUUGAAUCAUUGAGAAACAUAAUUUAAAAUUUAUAUAGUUCCAUUCUAUGUAGGUGUUAAAAGCAUUUUAUAAAAGUACAUAUUUUUAAUUGUUUUUAGCUUCUGAAUAUAGCAGCAAUAAAAAUACAAAUUUGUGGGUAGGGGCUGGGGAUGUGGC
This 1510-nucleotide long non-coding RNA is filed under the name Marmota monax (woodchuck). The record is from RNAcentral. Lineage: Eukaryota; Metazoa; Chordata; Mammalia; Rodentia; Sciuridae.